AUUGAACGCUGGCGGCAGGCCUAACACAUGCAAGUCGAACGGUAACAGGAAGCAGCUUGCUGCUUCGCUGACGAGUGGCGGACGGGUGAGUAAUGUCUGGGAAGCUGCCUGAUGGAGGGGGAUAACUACUGGAAACGGUAGCUACUACCGCAUAAUGUCGCAAGACCAAAGAGGGGGACCUUCGGGCCUCUUGCCAUCGUAUGUGCCCAGAUGGGAUUAGCUUGUUGGUGGGGUAACGGCUCACCAAGGCGACGAUCCCUAGCUGGUCUGAGAGGAUGACCAGCCACACUGGAACUGAGACACGGUCCAGACUCCUACGGGAGGCAGCAGUGGGGAAUAUUGCACAAUGGGCGCAAGCCUGAUGCAGCCAUGCCGCGUGUAUGAAGAAGGCCUUCGGGUUGUAAAGUACUUUCAGCGGGGAGGAAGGGAGUAAAGCUAAUACCUUUGCUCAUUGACGUUACCCGCAGAAGAAGCACCGGCUAACUCCGUG
RNAcentral lists this ribosomal RNA (490 nucleotides) under uncultured bacterium. RNAcentral describes it as "partial 16S ribosomal RNA". It matches the Rfam family "Bacterial small subunit ribosomal RNA", at positions 30 to 507 of the family's 1533-position model. The record is from RNAcentral.